Equus caballus (horse) is the source of this 2148-nucleotide non-coding RNA. NCBI's taxonomy places the organism in Eukaryota, Metazoa, Chordata, Mammalia, Perissodactyla, Equidae. The record is from RefSeq and is a predicted model, not a curated record.
CCAACUGUUCCUUCCAGAGAAACAAGAAUGUCCUAAUCAUCGUUCUGUUCGUUGACUGUUGGGAGCCAGAAAUGGAGACUGGGACCGUUAAUGCCCCUGGUGAAAAUGCCCAGUCCCAUCGCUCAUGCCCAGGGAAGAAAAGGACUUUAGGAGCACAGCACAAAACAACAGACAUCACUGUUGCUGAACUCCCCCAGUGAACACACGCAGUUUUUAAAUUGUGGAGCUCUUGAACCAGAAGCAUUCCCAGAGGUCCUCUUGUCCAGGUGCCGACCCUAACCAGUCAUUGCUGUGCAGUGACAUCCCCAGGCUGAGCACAGGAAGCCUGCAGACAGAGCUUGGACAACCCUAAUUACAGGAUAUUGGCAAGCGACUUCAACCUCCAAAGCCCUAGUAACAGCUGGAGGGAGCUCAGGCCCACUCAGAGCAGCUGUGUGAGGGGCCUGAGGAGGAAGGAAGAGGCGGACCCCCCUCUAGCUCAGUGGUCCUGUUAAAGAGAAAAGGCACUGGACACAAAUUAAACACGGCAAGGAAGACCUCACUCAAGACUGUCGCAAUAGGGGAGGAGACUGAACCCAAAUCUGAAGAUGACAGGGGCAGCUGGAGCUUUAUAGCCAGCAGACAGAGUGAAAGAGAGGACGGAACGCGACUAAGAGGAACGUGGUGAGGAGAGUUCCAUUGCUGCCCACUUGUUGUCUGGCUUUCUGCAGUGCAAUUCGGAAGAAGGGAAGGACAGAGAGAGAGACAGCUCUAUAGAGGUGGAAGGCAGGAAGACGGUUCUUGCCUGUUGGGUCAGCCCCAGGACUGUCUUUGGGCAUGGAGAACCUGCAUCAUGGGCAAGCAGAGGAGAAACUAAACCUGAUGUGAGAGAGAGAAAAUCUACCUGCCUGUCCUCAUCUCCCUCAAGAUUCACCUGUAGGAAGUUUGUUUUGGGAUGACUGGAAGAAAGACAGUCGUGGCUGGUUACCACGUGUCUCAGCCUGCUGAAGAAACCAGACGGCAGGUUCCACACCAGGGACCAGGGACUCCAAGACACCAGUUCUGUCUACCCUAGCAGCUCUGAACGAUACACUCCUGGGGACAGCAGAGCCCUUGCAGAAUCUACAAAUCCAAAGGCACUCCAAGCAUUGCCGGCGGGCUGAAAAAAUAUAUUACCACAUACACCAGCUAUUUUUGAAAUGGAUGUACUGCUACUGGAAUCCCAGUACUUUCUAUUUUGUAUCUUCUUCAUAAAUAUAUACUUUCACACAAUUUCAAUCGUGGAAAGAGAAGACCCUAAUUUUUUUUUCCAACGUAAAGAGGGUUCUUUUAAAGAAAACAUGUUAGCAAUCUCCAAUAUAAAGUCCCUUAGGGCGGGAGUUCUUCCGUCUCUCGGUUCUAGAACUCUCCAGCCCUCACCUGGCAAAUAGCGAUUGAGUUUUGUUCUGUGCGUUGUUUAAUAUCAAGCGUCUCUCAAGAGACUCACAGCCCCUUGAGGCCAAGUGAGACAGUGAGACAGUGAUGGCCUGAGGGAAGGAAACAGCCCUCACUGCAUCUCUGGGCCCUUCCUCCGGGCUGGCUUACUUCUAGGUCCAGCUCUGCCAUUAACUAACCUCAGUAUCACCUUGGCCAACUCAUCCUCCACUCAAGGUCUCAGUCUCCCCAGCUGAACAGUGAGGGGGGCUCAUUAGAUGGGCUCAGAAGUCCUUCCAGUGUUGAGCUUCUAGUCAGCUAAGCAUGGGCGAGCAUGUGGAGGACAGGGCACUUUUCCAGCCUUGAGCUUGCAAGGAAAACACCCUCAGAGCAAAGUGUGGUCAAAUGCAGAACAGAGCCCCAGCCCUGACAUGGGACGUGUGUACUGAGGGGUGAGAAUGAGGGAGCAGAGAGUAUGGGGUGGUAUUAAGCAAAGAGGGCUUCCUGGGGGAAAUGCCCUGGGCCUUAGAGCAAUUGUUUGCUGAGGAGCAUGACAGAGAACACGCUGUGCCAGACAGGCUUAGACUACACAUGACGUACGUGAGGUUUUUAAGUUUUCACCCCAAAAGCCACAUUAUAAAGAAUUCCUCUUUCUUUUGCCAUUAUGCAAAUCAUCUUGGUAUCGAUUGAUUGCAUUUGCAUGUGAAGAGGGAUGCUGGGUUUGUAACUAAUGUAUUUGCAUGUUCAUUUUAAUUA